AGGAUUAAUGGCAUGUAAAUUACUAAACUAUAGGCAAAUUCUGGUUUAAAUACCUAAAUUCAAAGUGUAUUAAGGAAAUUUCUAAACAAUUGAUUUGAUCUGAUUUCGUAACUCCGGCCAUAUUGCCGGAGACUAAAUGAUGACAUGGACCUCCGAAAAAUCCUACGUGGUCACGGCGGGAUUAAACCGAAACACAGUUGCUUUGUGUUUUAAAAAUGUCGUCGUUUGGAUUACCAAACGCAACAAGGUGUCAGCGCAACAAAAAUAAGCCACACAUGUACAUUACCAAAAAUACCCUUGUCGGAAUAUGGCCGAAGUUACGAAAUCAGAUCAAAUCAAUUGUUCAGGAAUUUCCUUAAUACACUUUGAAUUUCGGUAUUUAAAUCAGAAUUGGCCUAUUGUUUAGUAAUUUACAUGCUAUUAACCCUUAAAAUAAAUCUCACAGUUGAAAUUUGAACUUUGAAAGAUUAACUGUGAGAAUUUCAAAGUUCAUAUCCUACCCGCGCCGCACCUAGUCAGUCAAAUUCAAAUAAUAUAAAUGCCUAAAUGUAUUUGAAAAUAAUUUAAUGCUUAGGGACUCAUUAAAAUCAAAAGCCCCAACAUGAGUUUAAAUUAAAUAAAUCAUAGUCCAACUAAACAAAAUUCAGCCCAUUACUGAAUUAAAGGCUUAGCCCAUAACUGGAACCAAUUCCUUUCUCCCUAAAAUUCACGUUCCAUCACUAUUUUCUUUUCUACAUUCUCUCUCUCAAAUUCACGCUCCAUCGCUCUGAAUCUGCAGUCGCAGCUGCCGCCUUCUUGUCCGGCGAAUUCGCUGCCGGCCGCCGCCGACUCCUAUCGGCGUCUCCCUCUCUGUCUUUCUCCUCUCUCUCUCUAUUCUCACCCAAUUGGACCAAUUAACCAGCUCCCUCCAAUUUCACGGCGUCUGACGACCCUCUCUACUCCAAAUAGCCACCAGCGUGUUCUUCGCCGGUGAACACCUGAUUUCACUCAAUUUGUCGCUUCUUACAGGAAUACGAAAGGAGGACAAGGUAAGCUUUUGCCAUUUUAGGCUUUUCAUGCUUGUCGCCGAAUAAUUUAUCGUAAUAUUUUUUUGGAUUCAAGAAUUUUAAGAUAUAGCUGUUCCCCCUAUUUUUUACAGCGUUCAUCGCGAUUGAGGCGUAAGCCAGUCUCUAGAGAGCUUAGAGAUAGACUGCCACCAUUUUCAUAUUGACCGGAUCCAUGGAAGAACCUAAAAGCAAGUCUAGGAGGGAGGGCUCUGAAAAUGAGGAAGUGAAAGUAAGUCACCAUAGAGAGGAUCGAAAGCGU
RNAcentral lists this long non-coding RNA (1305 nucleotides) under Salvia miltiorrhiza (redroot sage). RNAcentral's name for it is "long non-coding RNA (SMIL_LNC004844)". The record is from RNAcentral. Lineage: Eukaryota; Viridiplantae; Streptophyta; Magnoliopsida; Lamiales; Lamiaceae.